Molecule: long non-coding RNA, 86 nt
Filed under: Chinchilla lanigera (long-tailed chinchilla)
Lineage: Eukaryota; Metazoa; Chordata; Mammalia; Rodentia; Chinchillidae
Description: lncRNA (ENSCLAG00000025190.1)
Source: RNAcentral
GCUAAGCAUGCCGGUGCUGAGGGGCUCUUCUCCCUGCUCCUCGCUGAGGAAUUAAGAGAAGUACUCAAAGAACACGAGUGGAUAUA